GUUUGAUCCUGGCUCAGAAUCAACGCUGGCGGCGUGCCUAACACAUGCAAGUCGAACGAGAAAGUGGAGCAAUCCAUGAGUACAGUGGCGUACGGGUGAGUAACACGUGACUAACCUACCCUCGAGUGGGGAAUAACCUCGGGAAACCGGGGCUAAUGCCGCAUAAUAUCUACGGAUCAAAUGCGCAAGCAGCUUGAGGAGGGGGUCGCGGCCGAUUAGCUAGUUGGCGGGGUAACGGCCCACCAAGGCGAUGAUCGGUAGCCGGCCUGAGAGGGCGCACGGCCACACUGGAACUGAAACACGGUCCAGACUCCUACGGGAGGCAGCAGUGGGGAAUUUUGCGCAAUGGGGGAAACCCUGACGCAGCAACGCCGCGUGGAGGAUGAAGCCCUUUGGGGUGUAAACUCCUUUCGAUCGGGACGAUGAUGACGGUACCGGAAGAAGAAGCACCGGCUAACUCUGUGCCAGCAGCCGCGGUAAUACAGAGGGUGCAAGCGUUGUUCGGAAUUAUUGGGCGUAAAGGGCGCGUAGGCGGUGCGGUAAGUCUGUGGUGAAGCCUCCGGGCUCAACUCGGAGCCUGCCGCGGAAACUAUCGUGCUAGAGUGUGGGAGAGGUGAGUGGAAUUCCCGGUGUAGCGGUGAAAUGCGUAUAUAUCGGGAGGAACACCUGUGGCGAAAGCGGCUCACUGGACCACAACUGACGCUGAGGCGCGAAAGCUAGGCGAGCAAACUGGAUUAGAUCCCUGGUAGU
Molecule: ribosomal RNA, 750 nt
Filed under: uncultured bacterium
Lineage: Bacteria
Description: bacterial SSU rRNA
Rfam family: Bacterial small subunit ribosomal RNA
Source: RNAcentral